This 254-nucleotide ribosomal RNA is filed under the name uncultured bacterium. RNAcentral's name for it is "partial 16S ribosomal RNA". It matches the Rfam family "Bacterial small subunit ribosomal RNA", at positions 524 to 776 of the family's 1533-position model. The record is from RNAcentral.
GACGUAGGGCGCGAGCGUUGUCCGGAUUUAUUGGGCGUAAAGAGCUCGUAGGCGGCUUGUUGCGUCGACUGUGAAAACCCGCGGCUCAACCGCGUGGCUUGCAGUCGAUACGGGCAGGCUAGAAUUCGGUAGGGGAGACUGGAAUUCCUGGUGUAGCGGUGAAAUGCGCAGAUAUCAGGAGGAACACCGGUGGCGAGGGCGGGUCUCUGGGCCGAUAUUGACGCUGAGGAGCGAAAGCGUGGGGAGCGAACAGG